GAGGGCUGCGGAAGAAUCAUCAAGAGAUGUUAAUGGUUUUAUUCCAGAAGAUGAACCCAAGAGAAAAUGGUUUGGCGUUAACACGGCUUCUUCCUCACUAUCAACCGAUACAUGUGUUAGUGGGCGAGAGUUGAUAAUGUUUUCUACUUCAAUUAACCAAUUGGCGAAAACGGUAUCUGUCGGUGUUUUGGUAAAUUGCAUGCCGGAGAGGGUGCGUUUAACUGAUUGGAUUAAUCUCUCCCAUGCACCACCGAAAUGUGGUGCUCCGGGGGGGUUGAAUAUCCACGUCGUAUCGGGGAGGUACAUUUCAUCUAUCAGCUCCUCGGUGUUUAUCUGCUUCGCCGCAUCUUUCAACUCACGAUCAGCGCCAACGAAAUUAGUCCCACGAUCAGUUCUGAUUUCAAUCGGAGUCCCUCUACGUGCGAUAAAAUUGCGAAUAGCGAUGAUGCAAGCGCUGGUGUUCAAGCUGUGAGCCACCUCUAUGUGUAUGGCCCGUAUUGUUAGACACGUGAACAGCACACCCCAGCGCUUUUCCUGUCUCCGUCCAACAGCGACCAAAAAGGGUCCGAAGUAAUCUAUCCCUGUGUAGGAGAACGGUCUGGCGUACGGCGACACUCGAGCUAACGGCAACUCAUUCAUCACUGGAGGUUUAGGUGGUACUCCGUUACAAUCAGAUCGGUGAGCCAGGAUUUUUUGGGAAGAAUAAUUGGCCUCUUCAUGUCAUGGCUUGCGUAACGACAAGCAUCGAUUCUUCCUCGUACUCAUCCCUUUGUACCUGAUUUGUCAUGCAGAAGUAGCUGAUAUUCUUCUGGAAACUCUAAUCGUUGCGCUUCCUUGAUGAUCGAUUGCUCAGCUUGUUGUAGCUCGAGAUGCGAAAGGGGUCCAAAAUAUCGAGACAUUUUUGGCAGACGAGAAUUAUUGAUGUACCUCCACAUGUAGGCGAUGGCUCGAUGCAGGCGUUUCCAAUCAGAAAAUCUGUCAAAGAUAAUUACUGGGGAUAAUUCACGAUGAUAUGAAACCGUCUGGCGUAACUCUUCCUCAGUAGUUGAAGGUCUGAAGCUUUGCACUUGCCACUCGUUUUCCGGUUGCUGUAGGAACGCUGGUCCUUUAAACCACAUUCCGGUCGUGCAGUGUCGGUUAAGGUUGGACCAUUUUGUACCUUCGUCGGCUACGUUGUUUUUAGUCGGCACCCACUGCCAUUCCUUUACUGACGAGUUUUCUAAUAUUUCGCCUACUCGAUGAGCUACGUAGACGCUAUAAUUUCGAUGAUCCGAGUUGAGCCAACACAAAACGUCUUUUGAAUCGGUCCACAAGAAGCGUCUAUGGAUCUUUAUCCGGUGUGAUUGAUGAAUACCUGUCAUCAGUCUAACUCCCAAUACUGCAGCUUGCAGCUCUAAUCGGGGAAUCGAUGUAUAUUUUAACGGAGCUACUCGAGUUUUUGCGCCGAUCAACACAACUUCCCGUUGAUCUUCGGAUUCGAAUCGGAAGUACGCCACGGCUGCGAAACCGUCUCUCCCGGCGUCUACAAAAAUAUGAAGCUGUGUCGUGCAGUUCUCUAAGCUGAUGGACGUGCGGUAACAUCGCGGAAUCUUGAUAGAUUGCAGAUGGGGUAUGCAAGUUAACCACUCCUUCCAUUUGUCUUGCAGAGAACUGGGUAUUUGAUCGUCCCACCCAAUUCCAGAACGCCAAACUUCUUGCAAUAAGACUUUGAGGAACAGUAAAAAGCCUGCUAUCAAGCCUAACGGAUCGUAGAUUGUCAUAAGCGUGCUCAGUACUUGCCGUUUGGUUGGUAUCACGAUCCCUUGUAGAACAUCUACAUCCUUUAACGGCACUUUGAAUUGGAAC
Molecule: long non-coding RNA, 1845 nt
Organism: Anopheles merus
Lineage: Eukaryota; Metazoa; Arthropoda; Insecta; Diptera; Culicidae
Exons: 3
Source: RefSeq, a predicted model, not a curated record